Molecule: long non-coding RNA, 2781 nt
Organism: Lepisosteus oculatus (spotted gar)
Lineage: Eukaryota; Metazoa; Chordata; Actinopteri; Semionotiformes; Lepisosteidae
Source: Ensembl
UGGCUGCAGGAGUGGGAUCUGGACUGAGGAGGCGUGCCCUGGGCGCCCACUCUCCGUCGAUUGCGGGUUCGCCCCCCAGUCGGACCCCGACAGACACCCACUGUUGCCUCGGAUGGCAGCUCACUGUGUUUUUUCACUGUCCUCCCACUGUGAUGUGAAUCCUCCUCAAUCCCACCGGUCGAGCAGACCAGUAUCGACUGCAGUGUGUCGAAGACUGCAGACCAGUAUCGACUGCAGUGUCACAGACUGCAGACCAGUAUCGACUGCAGUGUCACAGACUGCAGACCAGUAUCGAUUGCGAUGUGUCGAAGACUGCAGACCAGUAUCGAUUGCGAUGUGUCGAAGACUGCAGACCAGUAUCGAUUGCAGUGUGUCAAAGACUGCAGGCCAGUAUCGAUUGCACUGUUGGCCCCAUUUUCGGCAAACACCAGCGCAGUUUUCAUGGGCCAUACAGAACGUGCCUGAACACGCUGCACUCAAUGCUUUUUAAUCUUCUCCAGUUCCCCAGUGCCGCUGAGGGGUUGCAGAGAAUUUUAGCAGCAGGGUGAUGUGCUAUCCCUGACAAAGAAGACACAGUGCUUUAGAACCGAACGUCCCUUUAUGCGUCUGUGACUGUGUGCCAGUGAAAAGUCACAGUUUGUUUUCAGAAAGAUCCGGUGUAAAACUAAGAACAUCACACCCCCUGCGUUUUUUUAAACAAUCUUAUUUUUUAAAUAUUUCUAGCAUAUUAUUUUAUGAAAUAAAAUAAGCCUGUGUGGCCGGCAUCUUUGAGGUUUCUGACUGGAGUCAGCAGGAUGGGACAAACGGUCUUUUUUUAAUUUGGAAGCCAUUUCUUAACACUGUCCAAAAUGCUAAAAAGGGCUCUGAAAGGAGCCUGUCCCCUCACUUUGUGUGACCAGCGCUGUAAGAAACACCACAGAUGCACACUUCAGGGAGUGAUCCAUUCUGCUUCCAAUGUUCUGGCCGGAACUUAUCCAGGCUAGCAAGUGUGUGCUUUGAAGAGCGCACCAAGGAUAAAGAUCAGAUAAGAUCACUUUAUUGGCCAUAUACAAUUUCUUGCAUUAGGAAUUUGUCUUUUCGCAUACCCCAGCUUGCUCUCCAUGAGACACACAGACAGGGAGAGAAGCUUGGGGUCAGAGCGCAGGGUCAGUCAUUUAUACAGCGCCCCUGGAGCAGCUGGGGGUAAGGGCCUUGCUCAGGGGCCCAGCGGAGUAGGAUUCCUCUGCCAGCCGCAGGAUUUGAACCGGCAACCUUCCAGCCACAGAUCCUCAGCCACAGUGCCACCACUCCACCCAUAAGAGUGUGCUUCAGUUGGUUUACACAUUGGUGCACACUCAGACGUCUGAUUCAGAUGUGAUCUAGUCUGGCAGAGGCCCAGAAGCAGCCACUGGAGACCACCUGGACAGUAAGAAAACAAAUUUGGGGAACUCUUGGGUUGUCCCCAAAUGGUAUGGUGAAGCAGUGGUCGGCAUUGCUACCUCGCAGCAUUGGGGCCCUGGGUUCAAUUCUGCACCUGGGACGCUGGUCGGUUCAUUGGCUUUUGGGAAAACUGACCCUGGAGUGAGUGUUUACGUGUCUGUGUGUGCCUGGCCAUGGACCAAGCAGGGUGUGCCCUGAUUUGUGCCCGUUGCUUGCCAGGAUAGGCUCCGUCUCCCCAGUGACCCUGAAUUGGAUAGAGUUGGAAAAUGGAUGGAUCGUCCCCUUUCCGACACCAUUCCUUACACUGUGACAGGUCACCCACUCCCUGUUGCCUUUGUAAUCUGUAUUCCGGGAGGCUGGGCUGCUUAUCGAUGUAUUAGACCAGCACCGAAUAAUAAACAAACGGUGUUGCGUGUCUCUGUCAGUGUUCGUGGAUGUCCUGUUUUGUAGUUGCCAGGUGUCUCCAUGGUAAGUUUUAAUGACGCUGUAUUUCUACAAGUUGAAGCUGUAUUUGUAAAGCCGGAGCUAAAAAAGCAGCCAACCCCCCCCUUUAAAUAAAGCUGUUCAUGGACAAGGGGUUACUGCGUGCUUCGUCUUGUUGAAUUUGUGGGGAGGGGGGCAGAGGUCGGAGGUCAAAGGUCAAAUGAGCACCAGCAGGAGAUGCCAACGUCUUGAGACAGAGCAAGAGCCAGCAUUUAACCAGCCCAGGCCUACCUUUGGAAGUGGAUCAUUUAUUUCUUGCUGGACACAUAGGGCUGCAGGAUUAGCACAGUGAAUGAGAUGGUGGUGUCUUUUCCAGCAGUGGGGGAGCUUCCAUAUUUACAUAGUGCGCCAGACAAGGCCUGAGACCAUAACAAAGCUUGACCAGCACUCAAUUACGUCUUGUGUUUUAGAAGGAGGGAAGGGGUUGUCAGAAGUGGUUCGUACUAGAAGUACUGGUGGCCUCUGGGCUGGGUUUUGGGUGGCCUGACACGAAGAAGCUGAGGACCGCCAUUUUGACGAAUCCGCUGUACAGGUGAGCCCAGCGCACCGGGGUGUCUCGGUGACUCGGCCAACACGCAGUUUUAGCUUGGCCAAAUGCAGCGGCAGCAAAAUGUCCCCACCCACACAGGUCAGCUCGGGGAUCCAAAAUGAAAAACCUGAAGCUAAUUAACGUCUGUUCUUGUGCAUCUUAACAAUGACCCACUCCUCCAGCACCAGAACAGUACCGAAUAGAAUUUUAACCGCCGUGGUCCCGACACGGGUGGGUCACGCCGGGGCAACAGCAGUGCAGUUUCCCUGGGCAUGCAGAACGUGCCUGAACGUCGGGAAGUCAUUACUGUUCAUGUUAGUUUAGAUUUUAUCUCAAAUACACAAGCUGCG